RNAcentral lists this ribosomal RNA (386 nucleotides) under uncultured bacterium. RNAcentral describes it as "bacterial SSU rRNA". It matches the Rfam family "Bacterial small subunit ribosomal RNA", at positions 30 to 418 of the family's 1533-position model. The record is from RNAcentral.
AUUGAACGCUGGCGGCAUGCUUUACACAUGCAAGUCGAACGGCAGCGCGGGCUUCGGCCUGGCGGCGAGUGGCGAACGGGUGAGUAAUAUAUCGGAACGUACCCAAGAGUGGGGAUAACGUAGCGAAAGUUACGCUAAUACCGCAUACGAUCUAAGGAUGAAAGCAGGGGAUCGCAAGACCUUGUGCUCCUGGAGCGGCCGAUAUCUGAUUAGCUAGUUGGUGGGGUAAAGGCCCACCAAGGCAACGAUCAGUAGCUGGUCUGAGAGGACGACCAGCCACACUGGAACUGAGACACGGUCCAGACUCCUACGGAGGCAGCAGUGGGGAAUUUUGGACAAUGGGGGCAACCCUGAUCCAGCAAUGCCGCGUGAGUGAAGAAGGCCUC